RNAcentral lists this long non-coding RNA (706 nucleotides) under Pan troglodytes (chimpanzee). RNAcentral's name for it is "long non-coding RNA NONPTRT004354". The record is from RNAcentral. Lineage: Eukaryota; Metazoa; Chordata; Mammalia; Primates; Hominidae.
UAUCUACUUUUCUUCAACUUAAUUUCAACUUGGGUCAAAAUCAAAUAUAUAUUAUUUUCUCCAAACCUCUUCAGCACCUUCCAGAUUAUCCCAUGUCUGUUACAAUACCAGUACUUUUUGUGAAGUAAGCCAGGAUUGAGUUUUUAGGAGUCUCACACUUUCUCCAUUUAUUAUUUGUCACCUAGUCUUUUUAAAUUAUUUUUAAAAAUUCCCUCAACACUAUGCCAUUACUUCCUUCUGCAUUUUUCUGCACUGUUGAAUAUGCCUCAAUAAACCUCCACUCAUUAUUGGCCCAUCAACAUUUUUUUCAUCCUGAUUCUUUUACAGUGUGAUACACAUGCACUAGUUGGAUUUAAUUUUUCUGUUUCUGUGUUAGUUUGCUGAGAAUGUUGAUUUCCAGCUUCCUUCGUGUCCCUGCAAAGGACAUGAACUCAUCCUUUUUUAUGGCUGCAUAGUAUUCCAUGUUGUAUAUGUGCCAAGUUUCUUUAUCCAGUCUUUCAUUGAUGGGUAUUUGUGUUGGUUCCAAGUCUUGCUAUUGUGAACAGUGCUGGAAUAAACAUAUGUGUGCGUGUGUCUUUAUAGUAGAAUGAUUUAUAAUCCUUUGGGUAUAUACCCAGCAAUGGGAUUGCUGGGUCAAAUGGAAUUCCUGGUUCUAGAUCCUUAAGGAAUCGCCAAACUGUCUUCCACAAUGUUUGAACUAAUUUAC